RNAcentral lists this transfer RNA (71 nucleotides) under Cheiraster sp. SS-2022. Its description in RNAcentral is "tRNA-Glu". It matches the Rfam family "tRNA". From Rfam's summary of the family: Transfer RNA (tRNA) molecules are approximately 80 nucleotides in length. Their secondary structure includes four short double-helical elements and three loops (D, anti-codon, and T loops). Further hydrogen bonds mediate the characteristic L-shaped molecular structure. tRNAs have two regions of fundamental functional importance: the anti-codon, which is responsible for specific mRNA codon recognition, and the 3' end, to which the tRNAs corresponding amino acid is attached (by aminoacyl-tRNA synthetases). tRNAs cope with the degeneracy of the genetic code in two manners: having more than one tRNA (with a specific anti-codon) for a particular amino acid; and 'wobble' base-pairing, i.e. permitting non-standard base-pairing at the 3rd anti-codon position. Lineage: Eukaryota; Metazoa; Echinodermata; Asteroidea; Notomyotida; Benthopectinidae. The record is from RNAcentral.
AUUUUUGUAGUUGAAACUAACAACAAUAACUUUUCACGUUAUAAGUUUGGGUCCAACUCCCAACAAAAGGA